UUUUAAUUCUCUUUCUAUUCCGUUUCUAUUCUUGUCCAAUUUUACAUCAUCACUGUCCUCAAUUCGUCAUCAUCAUCAUGCUAAUUGUUUGAAAAGUAAGAAUAUCAAUUACCAAAGAGUUAACCAUAAUAAGGAAAAAAAAAAUUCCAACUCAAAAUGGAUUAAUUAGUGGCCUUUUCUUCACUUUUUUAUUCUUCUUCUCUAAUCCUAAUCAUCUGAUGUUUCUAAUCGUUUGCUGUUGGAGGAAAUCGAAGAAGAAAAAACUGGACAAACGAGCUGAUGACCAAUGGAAUAGAAAUGUAAACAAGUAUCAUUUGCAUUUUUCUAUUUCUAUUACUGAUCCUUGACUUUUCUAUUUCUCUCAAUUUUACUUCCUGCUGAUCCACUGGACCUUAUCAAAUUUUCAUCUUUACUCAAGGCAAACAAGUAGAAUAUAUCAUUUGAAUAUUAUAUUUGCUACAAUAUACAUUUUGGAGGUUAUGUCUUUAUCCUAAUUGUGCUACUGGAAGAUAGUGUGUGUGUGUGUAUAUUACAUGUACAUUAUGCAAGAGAAAAUGGUUGCCUCGAGUUAGUCCAUCAUCAUGAUCAUCAUAAAAAUAAUAUCAUUGGCAAAGAUGUGAUACCAACAAUAUGAAUGAACCAUGGAUAAGGAUAAGAAAGUGAAAAGAGAAACAAGAAUAAAUCAGAAUGAUGAUGAUUUCCAAAGGAAGAGUGAAACUACACCAUUAAGAAAACCAUGGUUAUAAUGUAAAUUGAAAAGCGAGCAAUUGAUAAUGAAUGAGAAUGAUAAAGAGGAAUCAGAAUUUUUUUAUUAUGAUUAUAAAUGAUUAUCAUUACUCUGAUCUGUAUGUACACCACACACGAUACGAGCCGUUAUUAUGGAUUGUGAAGGAAGGAAAGGAUUUGUUCCGUUACACUGAGUGACCUUCGUUCGUAUCGAGGCAAUAAUAGUAAUAGCUAUAUUCAUCAUAAUAAGGACCAUAAAUAUAAAACAAAAUUUAUAAAAAAAAGAGCGAGGGAAAAAUCCUGUGAGAUUCAUUACAUUUUCAUCCCUUUGAUAUUUUGGUGGAUCUUCAAGUUUUGGUUGAAACCUCGUUCAAAGUAUAUCAGCCUUAAAAAAGCCAUAAUCCAAGGAGAUAUUUCAUAACCAUUAUUGUUGACGUUCCAAAGGAUAUGGAACUUUGAAGAUUCUCUUCCUUCACCUCAUCCUCUUCAGGGAAUUAAACCUUAAUAUCAUCGAAAGAUGUAAAAUGGCUUUAAAACGGACAUUUUCAAUUAACUUACGGACUCUUUUCAUCAUCAAAUCACAGUUGAUUCAACCAUAAUCAUCAUUUAAACAAACAUAAAACCAACACCAGAAGCGAAGGGACAAAAAAGUUUCAUCAAUUUAAUGAUGAGGUUAACUUUUUCCUCUUAUUUUUUUAUUUUCAUCUAUUUAUACUCGUUAACGGUUCUGAUAUUGAUCAUUAAGGUAUCUUGAUAAGGUGAUAAUAAGCAUGAUUAUGAUGAUGACGAUAAUGAUGAUAAUGAUAAAUUGAUCAUUGAAUAAAUCCCAUGAGAAGAUGAUUCAAUGAUGAUACUAUGAUAGAUAUAAUUGAACUUUGAUUUUCUUCAUCUUUUUUACUUUUAGGUUGAAAGUAAAACCUCAUUACAAUGGAUUCAUUUAAUUUCCAUUUAAUAUCAUGAUUAAAAUAAUCUUUAUGAUAUUAAUUAGUUGCCCUGUUAACUAUCCCCGAUUGUACAGUAAUCAAAAUGUUUACCUGUUCACAUUAUAAAACUCAUUGAAUUUACUAUGAAUGUGAAUUCAUUCAUUAGCCAAUGAAUUUAAUUUCAUCCAAUCCACCUUAAUCAUCAUUUACCUUACAGUUUAAUUCAACCCUUUCAAUUUAAUUCUGAUGAUGAUUAACAAAAAAAAAUGAUGUAAUUAUUUAUCUCAUCAUGUUGAGGAUUUAAUGAAAAUCUUGUAAAAGAAAAGGAAUUAAAAUCAACAAUUUAAAUUGUUAAUAUUUAAAUGAAAAGACUCAAGAUAUGAAGAACCAAAGGAAAUAGUCAAAAUUAACCAACAAUUAAGGAAAUCUGAAGUUCUAAUGGAAAAAAUAAUCAACAGCAAUCAGGAAGAAGUAAAUUAAUUGUGAUCAAGUUUAUAUCCUGAUUAUGGUGAUAAUGCCAAUCAAUGUUGAUUUCUUUGCGUUGACAAUUUAAUUUGCUGAUUUUCGGACAAUCAUUACGAUUGUUAUGACGAUUAUUAUGAUUAACAUUCAAUUUAAUUACUUAUCUUGAGCAGUAAUAAUAAUAAUUCAGAUCAUUUUACUAUUCGCAGUUAUUAGUUUAGUAAGAAUGAUUAACACAGAGAAAAUGAAAUGAUAAUAAUUUAACUUUACCGUUAACUGUAUUUAACUAAAUCAACUGAGAAUUGCAAUCUCAUUGCGUCCCCAGUGAAAUUAAUCUAAUCUUUGAUUUAGAUUAUCUUUCCUUUAAUUGUCCAGGGAAUUGGUUCUUCCCGUUAGUUGAUUUAACUAUUGACGUAAUUGUAUCAACUUUAUUGUUAAAUAUGAUAAAAGUAACACAACAGUUAUAAAAAGAGAUGAGUUAAUCACCAGGAAUCAGAUUAAUCAUUGAAUAAGGAAUAAUAACAAAAAGGAAAGUGAUUAAAUCAACUAAUCAUUUUUGUUCAUCAUAUAAAUUAACCAGAAUCUUGAAUGUUAAUCAUUCAAAUUGAAUUGAUAAUCAAAAUAAUCAUCAUUAACAGAUUAACUUAAUCAAGUUGUCAUUAAUUUACCAGCAUACUAAUCAUAAUCAACUUGAUUGGUAAAAAAAAAUAGUUCAAUGAUUUUAAAUUACCCUUAAGCAAUUUCAAUCUGAAUCAAUUCAACACUACACAAAUUAACAAUUCAAAUGAUUAACGGUAUUAAUUAACUUUGAUAAUUCAACAAUUAAUCGUCAACCCUAUGAAAAAAAAACCUAAUGAUUAACAAUUAGUAACUAAAUUACCUCUUCAAAUUUCAAAUUGUUAAAUUUUUCUUAUUCAAACUAAUUAACGAUAACCAAAUCAACUGAUCAAUAUGAUGAUCGAUAUUAAAUAUUAUCAGUUUGAUACAUGAAUUCAAUAUUGGAAUUAUUAAAUUGUGAUCAUUCAAUGAGUUUUGUUGUAUCUUUAAGGCAAAUACUCAUCUCAUCAUCCCUCAUCCACUCAUCAUCCCAUCAUCAUCUUGAUCAUCUUGAUCAGCAUCUGAUUAUAAUCAUCAAGUGAUCAUAUUACACCCUCUAAAUUGUUAAUCUUAUUUAAAGCUUAAUCAACAUUGUAACACUUAAUGCGAUUUGUGUAUUAAACUCAAAAGGAUAACAUCCAAUUAAGAUUAACUAUUAAUAUCAUUUUACAAUUAACAAAUUAAUAAAUUAUUUCAAAUUACUGAAUAUAAUU
This is a long non-coding RNA of Panonychus citri (citrus red mite), 3421 nucleotides long. RefSeq lists it as uncharacterized. The record is from RefSeq and is a predicted model, not a curated record. The transcript has 7 exons. NCBI's taxonomy places the organism in Eukaryota, Metazoa, Arthropoda, Arachnida, Trombidiformes, Tetranychidae.